This 70-nucleotide transfer RNA is filed under the name Platerodrilus sp. MNCN/DNA:86739. RNAcentral's name for it is "tRNA-Trp". Lineage: Eukaryota; Metazoa; Arthropoda; Insecta; Coleoptera; Lycidae. The record is from RNAcentral.
AAGGAUUUAAGUUAAAUGUUAAUCAAACUAUUAACCUUCAAAGUUAAAAAUAAUAAAAACUUAAGCCUUG